Molecule: ribosomal RNA, 353 nt
Filed under: uncultured bacterium
Lineage: Bacteria
Description: partial 16S ribosomal RNA
Rfam family: Bacterial small subunit ribosomal RNA
Source: RNAcentral
CCUACGGGAGGCAGCAGUGGGGAAUAUUGCUCAAUGGGGGAAACCCUGAAGCAGCGACGCCGCGUGGAGGAUGAAGGUUUUCGGAUUGUACACUCCUUUUGUUAGAGAAGAUUAUGCACUUUUCUAACCAAUAAGCACCCGCUAACUACGUGCCAGCAACCGCGGGAAUACGGAGGGUGCAAGCGUUACUCGGAAUCAAUGGGCGUAACGGGUGCGUAGGCGGGGUAACAAGUCAGAAGUGAAAUCCUGUAGAUUAACGAGGGAACUGCCUUUGAAACUGUGACACUUGAGUGUGGGAGAGGAAGGUGGAAUUCCUGGUGUAGGGGUGAAAUCCGUAGAGAUCAGGAGGAACA